GGCCUGGCUGUAAAAUCAUUAAUGGUCAUAAGAAGUUUAAUGGUAUGGCCAAAAAGGGCUUCGAUCAGAACUUUAAGGUAAUUUGCACAAGAUGGAUCAGACCCAAAUAUCUUUAUAACUUCACUGGAUAGAUAAAGGAAACAAGGCUGAUUGUGUUGCUGGUAUAAAAGUUGAACCUCUUCCAGCAUUGCCCCGAUUGUGACCCCCAUGA
RNAcentral lists this unclassified non-coding RNA (211 nucleotides) under Hevea brasiliensis (rubber tree). The record is from RNAcentral. Lineage: Eukaryota; Viridiplantae; Streptophyta; Magnoliopsida; Malpighiales; Euphorbiaceae.